RNAcentral lists this ribosomal RNA (441 nucleotides) under uncultured Desulfobulbus sp. RNAcentral's name for it is "bacterial SSU rRNA". It matches the Rfam family "Bacterial small subunit ribosomal RNA", at positions 937 to 1382 of the family's 1533-position model. Lineage: Bacteria; Pseudomonadati; Thermodesulfobacteriota; Desulfobulbia; Desulfobulbales; Desulfobulbaceae. The record is from RNAcentral.
GCAUGUGGUUUAAUUCGAUGAUACGCGAGGAACCUUACCUGGGCUCAAAUGUAUGUGACGUAUUCUGAAAGGGAUACUUCUUCGGACAAUAUACAAGGUGCUGCAUGGUUGUCGUCAGCUCGUGCCGUGAGAUGUUGGGUUAAGUCCCGCAACGAGCGCAACCCUUGCCUUUAGUUGCCAGCAGUUCGGCUGGGCACUCUAAAGGGACUGCCGGUGUUAAACCGGAGGAAGGUGGGGAUGACGUCAAGUCCUCAUGGCCUUUAUGACCAGGGCUACACACGUACUACAAUGGCCGAUACAAAGGGCAGCGACACUGCGAGGUGAAGCCAAUCCCGUAAAAUCGGUCUCAGUCCGGAUUGGAGUCUGCAACUCGACUCCAUGAAGUUGGAAUCGCUAGUAAUCGUGGAUCAGCAUGCCACGGUGAAUACGUUCCCGGGCCUU